This 241-nucleotide ribosomal RNA is filed under the name Salmonella enterica subsp. enterica serovar Derby. RNAcentral's name for it is "partial 23S ribosomal RNA". It matches the Rfam family "Bacterial large subunit ribosomal RNA", at positions 2080 to 2320 of the family's 2925-position model. The record is from RNAcentral. Lineage: Bacteria; Pseudomonadati; Pseudomonadota; Gammaproteobacteria; Enterobacterales; Enterobacteriaceae.
ACGGAAAGACCCCGUGAACCUUUACUAUAGCUUGACACUGAACAUUGAGCCUUGAUGUGUAGGAUAGGUGGGAGGCUUUGAAGCGUGGACGCCAGUCUGCGUGGAGCCGGCCUUGAAAUACCACCCUUUAAUGUUUGAUGUUCUAACGUGGACCCGUGAUCCGGGUUGCGGACAGUGUCUGGUGGGUAGUUUGACUGGGGCGGUCUCCUCCUAAAGAGUAACGGAGGAGCACGAAGGUUGG